UACAGAGGGUGCAAGCGUUAAUCGGAUUUACUGGGCGUAAAGCGUGAGUAGGUGGCUCGCUAAGUCGGUUGUGAAAUCCCUGGGCUCAACCUGGGAAUUGCAGUCGAUACUGGCAAGCCAGAGUUCGGUAGAGGGUGGCGGAAUUCCCGGUGUAGCGGUGAAAUGCGUAGAUAUCGGGAGGAACAUCGAUGGCGAAGGCAACCACCUGGGCCUGAACUGACACUGAGGAGCGAAAGCGUGGGGAGCAAACAGG
Molecule: ribosomal RNA, 253 nt
Filed under: uncultured bacterium
Lineage: Bacteria
Description: partial 16S ribosomal RNA
Rfam family: Bacterial small subunit ribosomal RNA
Source: RNAcentral